RNAcentral lists this ribosomal RNA (301 nucleotides) under uncultured bacterium. RNAcentral's name for it is "partial 16S ribosomal RNA". It matches the Rfam family "Bacterial small subunit ribosomal RNA", at positions 509 to 807 of the family's 1533-position model. The record is from RNAcentral.
CAGUAGCCACGGUAAAACGAAGGGGGCUAGCGUUGUUCGGAAUUACUGGGCGUAAAGCGCACGUAGGCGGAUAUUUAAGUCAGGGGUGAAAUCCCAGAGCUCAACUCUGGAACUGCCUUUGAUACUGGGUAUCUUGAGUAUGGAAGAGGUUAGUGGAAUUGCGAGUGUAGAGGUGAAAUUCGUAGAUAUUCGCAGGAACACCAGUGGCGAAGGCGGCUAACUGGUCCAUAACUGACGCUGAGGUGCGAAAGCGUGGGGAGCAAACAGGAUUAGAUACCCGCGUAGUCCCUGUCUCUUAUAC